Molecule: transfer RNA, 73 nt
Filed under: Rickettsiales bacterium
Lineage: Bacteria; Pseudomonadati; Pseudomonadota; Alphaproteobacteria; Rickettsiales
Description: tRNA-Glu
Rfam family: tRNA
About the family: Transfer RNA (tRNA) molecules are approximately 80 nucleotides in length.
Source: RNAcentral
GGCUCAGUAGUCAAGUGGUUAAGACAUAACUCUUUCAUUGUUACAUGCUUGGGUUCGAUCCCCAACUGAGCUA